This is a long non-coding RNA of Thamnophis elegans (Western terrestrial garter snake), 308 nucleotides long. RefSeq lists it as uncharacterized. The record is from RefSeq and is a predicted model, not a curated record. NCBI's taxonomy places the organism in Eukaryota, Metazoa, Chordata, Lepidosauria, Squamata, Natricidae. The transcript is spliced from 3 exons.
UAGGUCAGUUCUGAAUCAUGCUGUUCUGUAUAGUUCCUAAUUCUAUAGAAUUGGUUAAUAACUGUAUUCUUUGGUAAGAUUUCUCUGGUGACACAUUGACCACAAUGCUGUAUUGAAAUAUCAAGUUCCUGAGCCCAGGAAUUUUGAAAGGUUGGACUCGUGCAAUCAGGAGGCCCUCUAAUUAGACUCUCUCAAAACAAGGAAAUUCAAAGGUUAGAUGCAGAAAAGAAAAUUAUGAGUUGGAUGGAAUCUUUGUCAAAUUCUACAACUCCAGGUCACGAACGAAAACCUGACUUCUAAGAAGCAAA